This 30-nucleotide non-coding RNA is filed under the name Mus musculus (house mouse). The record is from RNAcentral. Lineage: Eukaryota; Metazoa; Chordata; Mammalia; Rodentia; Muridae.
UUAAAAGUCUAAAUGAUGAAGCUAGAGUGA